RNAcentral lists this long non-coding RNA (5656 nucleotides) under Sus scrofa (pig). RNAcentral describes it as "lncRNA (ENSSSCG00055012845.1)". Lineage: Eukaryota; Metazoa; Chordata; Mammalia; Artiodactyla; Suidae. The record is from RNAcentral.
UUUUUAGGGCUGCACUCACAGCACAUGGAGUUUCCCAGGCUAGGGGGUCUAAUCAGAGCUGUUUCUGCCGGCCUGCACCAGAGCCACAGCAACGCCAGAUCCCAGCCGUAUCUGUGACCUGUACCACAGCUCACCACAAUGCUGGAUCCUUAACCCACUGAAUGAGGCCAGGGAUCGAACCCACAACCUCACGGUUCCUAGUCGAAUUCAUUUCUGCUGCACCAUGACAGGAACUCCUAAUUCACAACUACUGUUUACCUAUGUUAGCUGAUUUAGGAACAGACUGUUACCAAGCUAUAAGGGCGUCAGGAUGGCAAAAGUCUAACAAUGAGGGGUUAAUUCUUUGUGCCAUAUUGUUCAUUUGACAAUGUUUCCCCUGUAAUUUACACUUAGUUUGUAAAAAAAAAAAAAAAAGAAAGAAAGAAAGAAAAGAAAAACACACAAGGAAAAGUUUAAAAAUACCUGGUCAGAUAGAAUCAUAGAUUAUUGUUUCACAUUACUUAUUCAUUCAACCAACGUAACAAAGGAUUUCAAAAGCAAAUACAAAUUCAAGGCAAAGAAAUUCAUAUAAUCUGUUAUCAAAAGCAGCAUUUCAAAAAAAUCUUGUUUUAACAGAGAGACCGAAUUCAAAUUCAAGUUUUGCAACUAGCUUACUUUUUUCUGUGGGGAGCCGAGAAGAUACAAGAAGCCAAGGAAGGGAGCUUGCCUGUACUUGCAAAACCGAGGGCAGGUUCCUAAUCAGAAAAAAGGACCUUGCCUGUCGGCAGAAAAACCUGAAGGCAGGUUCCUAACCAAGGAAGGGAGCUCACCUGAAGGGUACAUGCCGAAGGUGGGCUUCUGGUCAGGAUAGAAGCCUGCCUGAACAGUACAAGCCGAGGGCAGGCCUCAGGUUACAGGGCUCUCAUUUUGAUGUUGAUGGGGAAGAAUUGGGGCUUUCCUGGGAAACAAUUUCCAUGUUUGCACCGGGGAACAUGCAUUGUUUCUCGGUGACCUAGUCUUUCCUGUUGUUUUGUUAUUCAGUUUUUCCUCAGUCUUUCCUGAUUAUUUGCUUAUUAUUCUUAUUUACCAUUCUUAUUUUCCUGUGGUGAUUUGGUUUGUGCUUCAACAAAAUUACAAAAAUAAUAUAAGAAUUUCAUCCUGAAGGACUUUCCCCUAUUUAAAUCCAACUUAAUUAAAACAUCGUGUUUAUCUACUAACUAGUUAUACAGUAAACUUUAAAGUUAGGAUUUUAAUGAGGUCUAUAGAAGUUAGACAUAUAUUAUUCUUCAUCAAAAGAAACCCAGCUGUGAGUUUUGUCCUUGACUUUAGAAAAUUUUAGCGGUAGCAGCUAAGUUGAUUUGUAUUUUCUCAUACUGUUUCCCUGCCAAGGACACUUUAAAGAUAGACACUAGUCUGAAGAUGAGUUUUUUGUGUCUGUAAUUUCUUCAGCUUGUGGGAACUGGCUGGCCAUGAGAUGGUUUGUACUGGGUCUCCUCUUUCCCAUAUGAUAUCCUGUGCCUGUUUGUCCUUGAAUUGUACUCACUAAAUUUAGUUAAACUGAAGAUUUUAAAACAUGAUGUAUUGCUACUGUACCAUGUGAUCAAAAAACAAAGCCUAAUAGUUAACCAAUGUACUUUUAACACUAUGAUGUAAUCUGUAAUAAAAAAACUGCCUAUAUAAUCAACCACUUACGCUAAUAAAAUUUGAGCAGUCCAGCGCCCUGAGAGAAGGGACAAAGAGGCUGUCUCCGUUGCAAAAGCCAACGCCGUUCAUCUCCCAUCUCAUCUCCCAUCGGGAUGUAUACACCCUGGCUGCCAGACCUGGUUGCUGGAGCUGGCCUCCGGCACUUUUCCUACAUUCUGAAGCAACCAUGGACUGUCUUUUAUCGUUUCUACAGGCAUGCGCUUUCUUGUUGAACAUUUCAGGAUGGCACUGAACAUACCGAUUAAUAGUCUUAAAUGACUUCAGUUUCUCUGUUUUGUAACUGAAGUCUCAGUAUCUCAUUUGACUUUUAUCAAACUUAGGUACAAUAGGUAUUAUACUUAUGUCGAUGACUCUAAAGACAUGUCUAUAUUAAUUAGAUCAACAAAAUUUAAUCUUGGAGUUCCCUUCGUGGCUCAGCAGUUAAUGAACCCGACUAGGAUCCAUGAGGAUGCAGGUUCGAUCCCUGGCCUUACUCAGUGGGUUAAGGAUCCAGCACUGCUGUGAGCCGUGGUGUAGGUUGCAGGCUCAGAUCCCAUGUUACUGUGGCUGUGGUUUAGGCCAGCAGCCACAGCGGAUUUAGACCCCACACCAGGGAAAUUCCAUAUGCCUCGGGUGUGGCCCUAAAACAAAAAAAUAAAAGUAAAAAAACAAAUUUUAAUUUCAAUAUUAACAUCUAAAAAUGAAUAUCAAAUACUGAGUAUUUUCCAGUUCACAUGAACCAAAAAUUUACCUUAUGUAUUUUGAGAAUUUAUGUAAGUGCUUAAUUUCCUUUAAGCCAAUUAAGUUGAGCUCUUUUAAGAAUUAAUUUUGGCAAUGCCAUACAUACAUAACACACACAAAGACACGUACAAACAAGCAAAACAGAGGCCUCAUAUUUCCCAUUUCGAAGUUUCAGCCAUGAAUAAAGUACAUCUGUAUAAAACCUGUCAGUUACAAGAGACACUGGGUUCAAACUGGGUUUCUGGCAGAUGGAAUAAAUCAUUGUCACCUGUCUAGAUGGCUAACCCCCCCUUUUAAUAAUGCUUAUGAACAAGACAUAGGACUUCUUUGUCCCUGAGAAUUCAACUUCCAACUUAGACCCUUUUCCUGAAAUUUGUAUUUCAAAAAGAUGGUGAGAGAAGGAUUUCAGAAGGUCAGGUAAGACAUUUGCAUCUCAAAGGCACGGGCUAGUUCCUAGAGGAUGACUUUGUUCCUUUAGGGUCGGAAAAAAUUUCCCUCAAUACUUACAAGCCUCUUCCCUGAGACCUUAAAGGCCAUGUCAAGUAAGACCAGGAAUGGGGUGUGUGGGCCCUGUUCUAAUUUUUGUAGUUUUCACCUGUCAGGGGAAGCCUGGCUUAUAAAAUGGAGCAUUGUACAGACCCCAGGCUCCCAGUUCAUUUGUCGGAAGGCGCAUGUCCCGGUCGGUCUUCUUCCAUGCCAGUUUCACACACCUGCCAGGAUUCCAAAAAGGUGUAGCCACUGUUUCUGGAAAGACACAAGCAUAACCUCUUCCCCAAGUUAUUAAAGGAUCAGGUUCUGUCCACGUAUUCUCCUCAGAUGUUUUCCGGUACACUAAUGCGCAGGUACCAGGAAUACGCUGGCCAUACUGUGGAAAGUAACAUAAGGUCUUUUUUUUGCCAUUUCUUGGGCUGCUCCCACAGCAUGUGGAGGUUCCCAGGAAAGCAUCUGCUGACUUUGAUGGACUCCUAUCCCAACUUCGAUUUGGGAGUAAUUAAAGACCAUGUGGGAGGGGCAAUCACAAUAACAACUGAAACAUCGGCUCCAUUAUCUGUUAAUCCCCUGAUAUUUUUUUCCAUUAACCGUAAUAGUCAUUCGUGGACGUUCAGUUGUGACUUCCUGAGUCCAAAAGACUUGAGAAGUCCCUGCACUUCCAAUCCUGAUGUUCCCCUUUCUUUAUGAGGACUCUGUCCUAUUUUAAGAUAUGGCAGCAGUAACAAUUGAGCAAUCCUCCUUCCAGGAUGCAAAGGAAGUAGGGUUUUGGAUUUCAUCAUCACUUUAAUCUCUCCUUGACAGUCUGCAUCUAUCACUCCAGGCAAAACUUGUAAGCCUCUCAAGGUUAAGCCACUUCUCCCUCUAAUGAGGCCUACGGUGUCCGGAGGAAGAGGGCCAUAAAUUCCUGGAGGGACUGCCUGAAAGCCCUGUUCAUACGUUAAAACAGCUGCUGUGGCGCCCGGCAAGUCCAACCCUUGGGAAGCCCCUGGGAGGGAUCGGAUGCCUUUUCGGUUGGAGCCACAAAAGCCCACAUUGUUGGACGGGGCCGGGGCUGGCCCUGGUUCCCGUUUCCCGACACCAGAGUGGUUAAUGGAGUACCAUUUCGGUGAAACUUAGAUCGGCAUUGAUUAGCCCAGUGAUUCCCUUUCUGACAGCGAGGACAUAAGCCGGGGUUCUGACUGGGUCCUGGAGAUGAUCCUGUUGCAGAGGGUGCCUUUUCUUUUGGGGGGGCUCGGCAUUCUCUCUGAAAGUGUCCUGCCUUUCCACAGUUAAAGCAUGUCUUUCCUGAGCAGCCAAGUGCUCUUUUCAAUGCUGCAGCAAGCAGCUCUUGAGUAUGACCUACACUCCCUACAUCCUGACAUGCCUUAAUAUAAUCAAAGAGGUCUCCUGAAUUUCUUACAGGGGCCAUUGCCCUUCUACAGUCUUUAUUUGCGUUUUCGUAUGCCAAUAGUUUAAUUAAAAUAUCAGCCACCUGAGAAUGGGCUACUUGGCGAUGGACGGCCUGUGUUAGGCGGUCCACAAAUUGUGAGUAAGGUUCUGUAGGGCCUUGAAGGCAACGUGUAAAAGAUCCUUGUGGCUUUCCUGUCCCAGGAAUUGUCUUCCACGCUCUUUGGGCGGCCAGGCUCAACUGCUCAUACGCCAGAGGAUCAUAAGCCAGUUGUUUUGUUACGUCAAGAAAAGGGCCUGUCCCCACCAACAUUUCAAAAGUAAUUGGAACAUGAUCUCUUUUAUUUAAGCAAGCCUGUUCCCGACAAAAAUCUGAAAGACUAGACUUCCAAAUUAAAUAAUCUAUACCAUCCAGGGUGGCUUUGGCUAUCAUAUGCCAGUCCCACGGGGGAAGCUGGAGUGUCCCCACGCUUUCUACCAAGCGCAUCGUAAAGGGAGCUGUCACUCCGUUCUGUAUCACACUCUCCCGGAGAGCUUUAAGAUCUUUAAAAUCAAAAGUGUUCUGCGCAUGGGUAUUUUGUCCUGGGACUUGAGGAUUGGGGACAAUAGGUAUAGGGCACGCUAAAAAGGUCCGAUCCUCUAGACUAGCUGACUUUAAGGCUGAUUGAAGGGGAGUUAGUGCUGCCGCCACAGCUAACGGCCUAUUUAAACUCUCAUCAAGAAAGGGAUCGGCCUGAGGGGGAGCAGAAGCUAUAGGCUUUUCUUUAUGUUCCCGUAAGGGCUCCAAAACACGUCUUACUAGUUCCCAUGUAGAAAAAACAGAAACAGAAAGAGAGGCCCCCGACCGAUGGGCGUGCCUUAAAUUUUUCCCCACGAGAUCCCAGCAUUCCGGGUCCACAGUACCCUCGCCUGGAAACCAAGGGUUAUAUUUGAGCACGGCUUCUAACAAUUCCUCGAUCUCAGACCCUGUUACCUGAGCCCCCGACCAUUUCAACACACAUUUCAGCAACUGAAUAUAAUGUUUGGUUUCCUGUGAUUGAUUCUGCCCCAUUGUUAUCCUGGCUUAAAGUUUCUACUUACUCACGGUUGCGAUUCCGUCGAGUGCAAUGCUACCGUCUCCGCCGUCUGUAGUUGCACUUUUUCCUGCUCGUGGCCCAACUUCUCUUUCCUCUGCUCGUGGCAGUGUUAUGGCAGCUGCCCAGAAGCCCUGGGCUGCAGCCUAUCAGUUCUGGCGACAGCCCUGUGGCUGUCGUGUCCCAGCUCCAGCAGCUCUGUGGCUGCAGUGGAUCAGCUCUUUGACCCGGCGAGAAACCAAGCGAGCACUUGGAGAGUUGGAGAACUCAGGUUUAUGACGCCGGUGGGCUCAGAGGAGAUC